RNAcentral lists this ribosomal RNA (1343 nucleotides) under uncultured bacterium. RNAcentral's name for it is "16S ribosomal RNA". It matches the Rfam family "Bacterial small subunit ribosomal RNA", at positions 28 to 1378 of the family's 1533-position model. The record is from RNAcentral.
GACGAACGCUGGCGGCGUGCUUAACACAUGCAAGUCGAACGGAAAGGCCCUGCUUUUGUGGGGUGCUCGAGUGGCGAACGGGUGAGUAACACGUGAGUAACCUGCCCUUGACUUUGGGAUAACUUCAGGAAACUGGGGCUAAUACCGGAUAGGAGCUCCUGCUGCAUGGUGGGGGUUGGAAAGUUUCGGCGGUUGGGGAUGGACUCGCGGCUUAUCAGCUUGUUGGUGGGGUAGUGGCUUACCAAGGCUUUGACGGGUAGCCGGCCUGAGAGGGUGACCGGCCACAUUGGGACUGAGAUACGGCCCAGACUCCUACGGGAGGCAGCAGUGGGGAAUAUUGCACAAUGGGCGGAAGCCUGAUGCAGCAACGCCGCGUGCGGGAUGACGGCCUUCGGGUUGUAAACCGCUUUCGCCUGUGACGAAGCGUGAGUGACGGUAAUGGGUAAAGAAGCACCGGCUAACUACGUGCCAGCAGCCGCGGUGAUACGUAGGGUGCGAGCGUUGUCCGGAUUUAUUGGGCGUAAAGGGCUCGUAGGUGGUUGAUCGCGUCGGAAGUGUAAUCUUGGGGCUUAACCCUGAGCGUGCUUUCGAUACGGGUUGACUUGAGGAAGGUAGGGGAGAAUGGAAUUCCUGGUGGAGCGGUGGAAUGCGCAGAUAUCAGGAGGAACACCAGUGGCGAAGGCGGUUCUCUGGGCCUUUCCUGACGCUGAGGAGCGAAAGCGUGGGGAGCGAACAGGCUUAGAUACCCUGGUAGUCCACGCUGUAAACGGUGGGUACUAGGUGUGGGGUCCAUUCCACGGGUUCCGUGCCGUAGCUAGCGCUUUAAGUACCCCGCCUGGGGAGUACGGCCGCAAGGCUAAAACUCAAAGGAAUUGACGGGGCCCCGCACAAGCGGCGGAGCAUGCGGAUUAAUUCGAUGCAACGCGUAGAACCUUACCUGGGUUUGACAUGGAUCGGGAGUGCUCAGAGAUGGGUGUGCCUCUUUUGGGGUCGGUUCACAGGUGGUGCAUGGCUGUCGUCAGCUCGUGUCGUGAGAUGUUGGGUUAAGUCCCGCAACGAGCGCAACCCUUGUUCACUGUUGCCAGCACGUUAUGGUGGGGACUCAGUGGAGACCACCGGGGUCAACUCGGAGGAAGGUGGGGAUGACGUCAAGUCAUCAUGCCCCUUAUGUCCAGGGCUUCACGCAUGCUACAAUGGCUGGUACAGAGAGUGGCGAGCCUGUGAGGCUGAGCGAAUCUCGGAAAGCCGGUCUCAGUUCGGAUUGGGGUCUGCAACUCGACCUCAUGAAGUCGGAGUCGCUAGUAAUCGCAGAUCAGCAACGCUGCGGUGAAUACGUUCCCGGG